AAUGAACGCUGGCGGCAUGGAUUAGGCAUGCAAGUCGAACGAUCCUGCUUGCAGGAUAGUGGCGAAGGGGUGAGUAACGCGUGAGUAACCUGCCUUAAGGUUUGGGAUAGCCCUGCGAAAGCGGGAUUAAUACCGGAUGUGGCGUUCUGCUGCAGAGCAGAAUUGCUAAAGGAGUAAUCCGCCUUAAGGUGGACUCGCGUCCUAUUAGCUUGUUGGUGAGGUAAUGGCUCACCAAGGCUACGACAGGUAGGUGGUCUGAGAGGAUGGUCACCCACACUGGGACUGAGACACUGCCCAG
RNAcentral lists this ribosomal RNA (298 nucleotides) under uncultured bacterium. RNAcentral describes it as "partial 16S ribosomal RNA". It matches the Rfam family "Bacterial small subunit ribosomal RNA", at positions 29 to 334 of the family's 1533-position model. The record is from RNAcentral.